CCUAGAGUUGUAGGCUUUGCCUGCUAUCUCUUACCCAUGUCUUUUGAGUACCUUCGUUUCCUCGGCGGGUCCGCCCGCCGAUUGGACAAUUUAAACCAUUGCAGUUGCAAUCAGCGUCUGAAAAAACUUAAUAGUUA
This 137-nucleotide unclassified non-coding RNA is filed under the name soil metagenome. RNAcentral's name for it is "partial internal transcribed spacer 1". The record is from RNAcentral.